Molecule: ribosomal RNA, 305 nt
Filed under: uncultured bacterium
Lineage: Bacteria
Description: bacterial SSU rRNA
Rfam family: Bacterial small subunit ribosomal RNA
Source: RNAcentral
CCUACGGGAGGCAGCAGUGGGGAAUAUUGCACAAUGGGGGAAACCCUGAUGCAGCGACGCCGCGUGAGUGAAGAAGUAUUUCGGUAUGUAAAGCUCUAUCAGCAGGGAAGAAAAUGACGGUACCUGACUAAGAAGCCCCGGCUAACUACGUGCCAGCAGCCGCGGUAAUACGUAGGGGGCAAGCGUUAUCCGGAUUUACUGGGUGUAAAGGGGGCGCAGACGGCGAUGCAAGGCAGGAGUGAAAGACCGGGGCCCAACCCCGGGACUGCUCUUGGAACUGCGUGGCGAGAGGGGAGGAGGGGCAG